UAAAAUGCUAAAAUACAAUAUACCUUGUAAAUUUUUUUUUAUUGAAAUUUUAGCAUCUAGAAAUAACUUAAAAUUAAAAUAUCCUAAAAAUUGUUAAGAAUAUUUCAAUGGCCUCUAUUGAGAGAGAAGGAGGCUUAAAAGGUUUCUAUUGAAAUUUUCAAUCCCCGAUUGAGAGCUGGUGAAAGAGCUUUUCCACGAUUGAGGGUGUAAGCUUAAAAGAAUUCGACUGAAACUUUCAAUCGCCGCUUCUUUGCGACUGAGGGUUGGUUUCGCAGUUUGCUAAUGCCGAUGAUGAUGAUGAUGAUGACGAUCUGGGGUUUGAUACCCGCAAAUCUUCGAGACUUUAGAGUCAACGCUCUGAGUUUCACCGUUCAAAACACAAUGAGUUUGAAGUAGUCGAUACGAUUGAUCAGUUGAUUGGUUCGAUUCUUGAUUCAAAAUCGAUCUGUUGUUGAUUGGUCCUAUUGAGCAUCAUAAUGGUCUCCAUGCUUAGAGCUUCACCGUUCUAGGUGAAACAGGAUUAGUUUGAAGUCGAUACGAUUGAACAAUCAAUUGGUCUGAUUCUUGAUCUAAAAUUGGAUUGUUGUCGAUUAGAUUUUCGAUUGGUCCUAUUGAGCAUCGGAGUCUGCAACUUGGGAGGGAGUUUCGUUUACAACUGCUGGACUUGUCUGCAACUGGAAUGGCUGAUUUGUAGAGGAAUCAACAUAAGAUACCUCACAGUAAAUACUUCCCAAAACAUAAGCUUCUGGAAAAUCUAAUUGCAACGACUGAUGCUAAAGUUGCUUUGCUUGGUGCUGACUAUUGCCUCCAUGUUGUGCCUGUACAGGGGCAGAUACCGGAAUCUGUCUAUGGUUAGUGCAGUUCAGCUUGUCUUUUCUAGCCGGAAUUGCUGAUUAUGUCGAUCCAGGCUUGCCGUUCAUAUCCCUCACAAGGGCUUAGAGCUCAAUACACUAAUGAUGAUGUCUCAAAUUAUUCCCUACGCACUGAAUAAUCAAGGUCAACCUUUCAUUGCAUUGUUAGGACCUUCUUUCUCUUUGGAACUUAUGAAUACAUUACCAACAGCAAUGGUGGUGGCAUCAAAAGACAAAAAAUUGGCAAAUGCCGUUCAGCAGCUACUAGCUUCCGAUCAUCUAAGAAUCAACACUUCAAGGUAUUACCUCACAUGAGAUACCUUAUGUUGUGUAUCGUUUCCUAUUAACUAAAUUGGUUGUGAUAAGCCAAGUUAGCUAGCACAAUUGCAUACUCAAAUUCCUCCAUAUUUCAUGACUCCCGUGUUAAAUAAUGCUAGAGAAUUAUGUAUGCAUUUGAGUGGACGACCCAGCUCAUAACCUUUGAUAUUAUGUUUUAAAAUCAUUUGAUUCCACAAUAUAAAGUGUUUGAGCUUCUUUA
Cannabis sativa is the source of this 1389-nucleotide long non-coding RNA. RefSeq lists it as uncharacterized. The record is from RefSeq and is a predicted model, not a curated record. The transcript has 4 exons. Lineage: Eukaryota; Viridiplantae; Streptophyta; Magnoliopsida; Rosales; Cannabaceae.